GCCUCCUUAGCUCAGUGGUAGAGCAACGCUCUUGUAAAGCGUAGGUCGUCAGUUCAAUCCUGACAGGGGGCUC
Molecule: transfer RNA, 73 nt
Filed under: Mycobacterium branderi
Lineage: Bacteria; Bacillati; Actinomycetota; Actinomycetes; Mycobacteriales; Mycobacteriaceae
Also listed under: 1 other name
Description: tRNA-Thr
Rfam family: tRNA
About the family: Transfer RNA (tRNA) molecules are approximately 80 nucleotides in length.
Source: RNAcentral